This 1232-nucleotide unclassified non-coding RNA is filed under the name Rhipicephalus microplus (southern cattle tick). RNAcentral describes it as "geranylgeranyl pyrophosphate synthase-like, transcript variant X2". Lineage: Eukaryota; Metazoa; Arthropoda; Arachnida; Ixodida; Ixodidae. The record is from RNAcentral.
UGUAUUUUGUCUGCUGCCGCCGCACGUCUUCCGCUGGCGUUGAUGUUGACGCGAAUCAAUGAACCUGGUCCGACAGCGGCAUAAGUUCGUUUGCUUUGCUAGAAUGCGUUAAAUUUUACAUGUUAAGAAAAGCUUUAUCAAGUGCGCCACUGUUCGAACUCUGCGUUCGUCUACUAAUUCUUCAAAUUUAAUGUGUGAUGUCAACGAGUGUUCCGAUUCACCAUGUGUCUGCCCAUCGUGCGUGUAGAAACUUGAUAGUAAUGUGCGAGUAGGGAACAGUUUUCUCUAGAGUAGCGCCUCGCGCCUGUGCAUCUUGAAUUUUGACGUGUUUCAGUUGACGCAGUGCAUUCUUUUAGUCUCUGCUGUGAAACAGACGAGGAAGAAGUCUUCGCGCCAUGGACAAGAAAGGACAAUCUAUGACCAGUGAGGAAAUGGAAAAAGCGAUACUUCAGCCUUAUUAUUACAUCGUCAAAAUUCCAGGAAAACAAAUAAGAACCAAGCUGGCACAGGCCUUCAAUUAUUGGCUGAAGAUAUCCCCUGAAAAAUGUCAAGCUGUUACAGAGAUUGUUCAAAUGCUCCACAAUUCUAGUCUCCUGAUUGAUGACAUUGAGGAUAACUCUUUGCUGCGAAGAGGUGUGCCUGUCGCACAUCACAUCUUUGGAGUGGCCAGCACUAUAAACUCUGCCAACUAUGUUUACUUCCUCAGUCUUGAGAAAUGUCUACAGCUGGGUGAUCCUCAGGCCACCACUGUUUUCACUGAACAGUGCCUAGAGCUUCACCGUGGUCAAGGCAUGGAAAUCUACUGGAGGGACAACUACAUCUGUCCUUCAGAGGAUGACUACAUCACAAUGGUUAAACGAAAAACUGGUGGCCUUUUUGGACUGGCUGUGCGGCUUAUGCAACUUUUUAGUGAAAACAAGAGUGAUUUCAGUGAAUUGAUUGGCACCUUGGGGCUGUACUUUCAAAUAAGGGAUGAUUAUGCCAACCUGGUUCUAAAAGAGUAUACAGAUAACAAGAGCUUUGCAGAGGAUCUCACGGAGGGAAAGUUUUCAUUUCCCAUUAUACAUGCUAUCCAGAAGCACCCAGAAGACCCUCGGAUGAUGACUUAUCUGCACUAGGUUACAGCAUGCUGGUUUUCUUCCACAGUCACAAUUAGGUACUCUACGUGAUGUCGGGAGCAACAUUGUAAAGAAGCGAACCAAAGACUUGGAAAUCAAGAAGUAUGCUGUGGA